GAUUUGGGGACACAGUGCAACCCCCACAGGAGGGACCCGUUGUUUCUGGGCCUUCGAGGGUGGGGAUGGGCAGAGAGGACACGCUGUGGAGGCCCCAGGGUCUGGUGAAAGCUUGGUGGUGCGGGCCAGUCCCGAGUCCCGCCACGGGGCCUGGCAGAGUCCAGGGGCAACAGAGAGGCCCCGACAGUUGAGGAAAGUCAAGAAAACUCAACAGAUUAGAAAACAACACCCCAACCCCAGCCCCGAUGCGCUCCAAACCUCAACCUGCAGCCGGAAGGGAAGUGAAACCUGGCUGGGGUGGGGGCUCCAGGGCGGCUGCCCCAGGAAGCGCCCAGAGCUGCAGCUCACACGCACAGUGAGGACCGAUGGCGGAGGCUCCAGCCACCCCGGCUCCGAGGAGCGGCGGAGCUGCUGGCGGAAGAAGACACAGGGUAAGGCCCGGCUGGCCACACACGCCCAGGCCCGCACAAGCCUUUGCAUCUGCAUGUUGUGGGGCUGCGCUUAACCCGAGGUCUGUGGCACCGCGGGUCGGAUGCAACUCACAGGCUGCAGGGCGUCUUCCUGGGUCCCUGUCCCCACCUCGCCCGGGCAGCUAGAUGCCUCUUCCGUCUAAUGCUGCAGCUGGGCCUCGCUGGGAAAGGGGUUCACCCACCCGCCAGCGGGAUGCGAACUGGGCUCCAGGCGGGCUGGACGCCCAGGAAGAGCCAGGCCUAGGGCAGGCAGGGCGGAGACUGUGAGGGCAGGAGGUGGGGUGGGUCCUGUCCAGGAGGCCUGGCCAAGAGGGGUGCUCAGCCUCAGGAGCCUCGAAGCCUGUGCUGGGAGUCUGACCAGGCCCUCUCCCAGGCCGCCCUGCUCCGCUGGGGUGAGGAGGCAGAGACCACUGCCGUGUCUGAGUGUCCGGCAGGCGGGGCUUUGGGUGGGCUGCAUGUGGGCACAGCCGGAGAUGGGAAGGGCGCUGGCGACCCAGGCACCUGCAUGAGGCCUUCGGCUCUGUGGAGCACCCCACCUGAGAUGGGGUAGGCAGGGUCCCUGGCUGUGGGGUCUGACUGUCCUAGGGUGCAGGGCUGCACACAGGAGUGGCCAGGGCUUGUGGGCAGACAAUGGUUGAGGCGUGGGCAGCCGUGUGAGAGAGACCACGGGCCCAGCGGGAGGAUGGCAGAAAGGAAGGAGCAGAGGGAAGGGGUGAGACGCUCAAAGCCACAGGACUGAAGUGGACCUGACCAGCCACCCCGACUUGCUCCAGAGCCACUGCAGGGGUGGGCGAAGGAGAGCCAGCCGCCCACUAGGACCCCGCUGGCCAAG
This 1302-nucleotide long non-coding RNA is filed under the name Bos grunniens (domestic yak). RNAcentral describes it as "lncRNA (ENSBGRG00000009964.1)". The record is from RNAcentral. Lineage: Eukaryota; Metazoa; Chordata; Mammalia; Artiodactyla; Bovidae.